CCUACGGGAGGCAGCAGUGAGGAAUAUUGGACAAUGGGGGAAACCCUGAUCCAGCCAUGCCGCGUGAGUGAAGAAGGCCCUAGGGUUGUAAAACUCUUUCAGCGGGGAAGAUAAUGACGGUACCCGCAGAAGAAGCCCCGGCUAACUCCGUGCCAGCAGCCGCGGU
RNAcentral lists this ribosomal RNA (166 nucleotides) under uncultured bacterium. RNAcentral describes it as "partial 16S ribosomal RNA". It matches the Rfam family "Bacterial small subunit ribosomal RNA", at positions 338 to 521 of the family's 1533-position model. The record is from RNAcentral.